Molecule: long non-coding RNA, 363 nt
Organism: Colias croceus (clouded yellow)
Lineage: Eukaryota; Metazoa; Arthropoda; Insecta; Lepidoptera; Pieridae
Exons: 3
Source: RefSeq, a predicted model, not a curated record
GUCAUUCAAUGUUCCUUCUUAUGGACCGCGUUUUAAUCAACCGUUGUUUAUUCCAUCCACCAGUACUUACUAUCGACAAAAUUAUUUUAUACCACGAGUGUGUACGUGCAGUCUUUUUAACAAGCUUUGCAAGCAAUACGAUUUUGAUCUAUUUACCACCAGUGUUGCUACGAUACUGCAGGCGAUAGAAUGUUGUUUCUUUCGUGGUUCAUUUUUCACUUGUGUAGACUGAUGAUGCUUAUAGAACUUUGUCACCGUACUCAGCAACAGUGUCAAGAAACCAAAAAACUAAUAAACCGUCUCAAAUAUGUUUGGUGUGCAUUCGAUUCGGUUUAUAAUGAGCUGGAACACUUCAAGCAGACA